UAUAUGGAGCCACAGUUGACAGUGCAUGUCAAAGCACAAAACAAGCAUGAAGUCAAAGGAAUUGUCUGUUGACCUGUGAGACAGGAUUCUCUUGAGGUACAAAUCUAGGGAAGGGUACAUAAACCUUUCUGUUGCUUUGAAGGUCCCAAUGACCACAGUGG
Thalassophryne amazonica is the source of this 161-nucleotide long non-coding RNA. RefSeq lists it as uncharacterized. The record is from RefSeq and is a predicted model, not a curated record. The transcript is spliced from 3 exons. NCBI's taxonomy places the organism in Eukaryota, Metazoa, Chordata, Actinopteri, Batrachoidiformes, Batrachoididae.